CCUUACCGGCGCUGACCCGCCUUAGCCUUACGCUCCACCCGUUGUGGUGCUCCCCCGCCAAUUCCUUUAAGUUUCAGCCUUGCGGCCGUACUUCCCAGGUGGCUCGCUUCACGGCUUCCCUACGGCACCGACAACGGUCGCACCGUGGCCGACACCUAGCGAGUAUCGUUUACGGCUAGGACUACCCGGGUAUCUAAUCCGGUUCGUGCCCCUAGCUUUCGUCCCUUGCCGUCAGGUCCGUUCUGGUGAGACGCCUUCGCCACUGGUGGUCCUUCAAGGAUUACAAGAUUUCACCCCUACCCCUGAAGUACCUCUCACCUCUCCCGGCCUCGAGCCGAACAGUAUCUCCUGAAAGCCCAACAGUUGAGCUGCUGGAUUUCUCAAGAGACUUAUCCGGCCGGCUACAGACCCUUUAGACCCAAUAAUAACGGUUACCACUCGAGCCGCCGGUGUUACCGCGGCGGCUGGCACCGGUCUUGCCCGGCCCUUGCUAUGCAAUGCUUUUUAGGCAUCACGACAGCCAGAUUUGUAACCUGGCACUCGAGGUCCCCUUAUCGCCGUUGCCGGCAUUGUAAAGUUUUCGCGCCUGCUGCACCCCGUAGGGUCUGGAUUCGUGUCUCAAAAUCCAUCUCCGGGCUCUUGCUCUCACAACCCGUACCCGUCGUAGGCUA
This 671-nucleotide ribosomal RNA is filed under the name uncultured archaeon. RNAcentral describes it as "partial 16S ribosomal RNA". The record is from RNAcentral.